UGGGGAAUAUUGCACAAUGGGCGCAAGCCUGAUGCAGCCAUGCCGCGUGUAUGAAGAAGGCCUUCGGGUUGUAAAGUACUUUCAGCGGGGAGGAAGGGAGUAAAGUUAAUACCUUUGCUCAUUGACGUUACCCGCAGAAGAAGCACCGGCUAACUCCGUGCCAGCAGCCGCGGUAAUACGGAGGGUGCAAGCGUUAAUCGGAAUUACUGGGCGUAAAGCGCACGCAGGCGGUUUGUUAAGUCAGAUGUGAAAUCCCCGGGCUCAACCGGGGAACUGCAUCUGAUACUGGCAAGCUUGAGUCUCGUAGAGGGGGGUAGAAUUCCAGGUGUAGCGGUGAAAUGCGUAGAGAUCUGGAGGAAUACCGGUGGCGAAGGCGGCCCCCUGGACGAAGACUGACGCUCAGGUGCGAAAGCGUGGGGAGCAAACAGG
RNAcentral lists this ribosomal RNA (429 nucleotides) under Chloroflexota bacterium. Its description in RNAcentral is "Chloroflexi bacterium partial 16S ribosomal RNA". It matches the Rfam family "Bacterial small subunit ribosomal RNA", at positions 355 to 776 of the family's 1533-position model. Lineage: Bacteria; Bacillati; Chloroflexota. The record is from RNAcentral.